This 253-nucleotide ribosomal RNA is filed under the name uncultured bacterium. RNAcentral describes it as "partial 16S ribosomal RNA". It matches the Rfam family "Bacterial small subunit ribosomal RNA", at positions 524 to 776 of the family's 1533-position model. The record is from RNAcentral.
UACGUAGGGUGCAAGCGUUGUCCGGAAUUAUUGGGCGUAAAGAGCUCGUAGGCGGUUUGUCACGUCGGCUGUGAAAACCUAGGGCUCAACCCUGGGCCUGCAGCCGAUACGGGCAAACUAGAAUUCGGUAGGGGAGACUGGAAUUCCUGGUGUAGCGGUGAAAUGCGCAGAUAUCAGGAGGAACACCGGUGGCGAAGGCGGGUCUCUGGGCCGAUAUUGACGCUGAGGAGCGAAAGCGUGGGGAGCGAACAGG